GAUGAACGCUGGCGGCGUGCCUAAUACAUGCCAGUCGAGCGAACAGAUGAGGAGCUUGCUCCUCUGACGUUAGCGGCGGACGGGUGAGUAACACGUGGAUAACCUACCUAUAAGACUGGGAUAACUUCGGGAAACCGGCGCUAAUAGCGGAUAAUAUAUUGAACCGCAUGGUUCAAUAGUGAAAGACGGCUUUGCUGUAACUUCUAGAUGGAUACGGGCCGCAUUAGCUAGUUGGUAAGGUAACGGGUUACCAAGGCAACGAUGCGUAGCCGAGCUGCGAGGGUGAUCGGCCACACUGGAAGUGGGACACGGUCCAGAGUCCUACGAGAGGCAGCAGUAGGGAAUCGUCCGCAAUGGGCGAAAGCCUUACGGAGCAACGCCGCGUGAGUUAUGAAAGUCUUCGGAUCGGAAAACUCUGUUAUUAGGGAAAAACAAAUGUGUAAGUAACUAUACACGGCGUGACGGUACCGAAUCAAAAAGCCACGGCUAACUACGUG
This 497-nucleotide ribosomal RNA is filed under the name uncultured bacterium. RNAcentral's name for it is "partial 16S ribosomal RNA". It matches the Rfam family "Bacterial small subunit ribosomal RNA", at positions 28 to 507 of the family's 1533-position model. The record is from RNAcentral.